UACGAAGGGGGCGAGCGUUGUUCGGAGUUACUGGGCGUAAAGGGCGCGUAGGCGGCGAUCCAAGUUAGGCGUGAAAGCCCCGGGCUUAACCUGGGAAUUGCGCUUAAGACUGGACUGCUUGAGUGCGGGAGAGGUGAGUGGAAUUCCCAGUGUAGAGGUGAAAUUCGUAGAUAUUGGGAAGAACACCAGUGGCGAAGGCGGCUCACUGGCCCGUUACCGACGCUCAGGCGCGACAGCGUGGGGAGCAAACAGG
This 253-nucleotide ribosomal RNA is filed under the name uncultured bacterium. RNAcentral describes it as "partial 16S ribosomal RNA". It matches the Rfam family "Bacterial small subunit ribosomal RNA", at positions 524 to 776 of the family's 1533-position model. The record is from RNAcentral.